This 433-nucleotide unclassified non-coding RNA is filed under the name soil metagenome. Its description in RNAcentral is "partial contains 5.8S ribosomal RNA, internal transcribed spacer 2, and large subunit ribosomal RNA". The stretch from base 1 to 120 matches the Rfam family "5.8S ribosomal RNA", at positions 35 to 154 of the family's 154-position model. The record is from RNAcentral.
GAUGAAGAACGUAGCGAAAUGCGAUACGUAAUGUGAAUUGCAGAAUUCAGUGAAUCAUCGAAUCUUUGAACGCAUAUUGCGCUCUCUGGUAUUCCGGAGAGCAUGCUUGUUUGAGUAUCAGUAAACACCUCAACUUCCAUAUCUUUUUUUGAAAUGGGAGUUGGACUUGAGUGAUCCCAACGCUUUUCCUCACCGAAAAGUGGCGGGUUACUUGAAAUGCAGGUGCAGCUGGACUUUUCUCUGAGCUAUAAGCAUAUCUAUUUAUUCUGCCUAAAAAACAGAUUAUUACCUUUGCUGCAGCUAACAUAAAGGAGAUUAGUUCUUGUGCUGACUGAUGCAGGAUUCACAAAGACAGCUUCGGCCGACUUUGUAAACUCGAUCUCAAAUCAAGUAAGACUACCCGCUGAACUUAAGCAUAUCAAUAAGCGGAGGA